This 460-nucleotide ribosomal RNA is filed under the name uncultured bacterium. Its description in RNAcentral is "partial 16S ribosomal RNA". It matches the Rfam family "Bacterial small subunit ribosomal RNA", at positions 338 to 795 of the family's 1533-position model. The record is from RNAcentral.
CCUACGUGAGGCAGCAGUGUGGAAUAUUGGUCAAUGGGCGCGAGCCUGAACCAGCCAAGUAGCGUGAAGGAUGACUGCCCUACGGGUUGUAAACUUCUUUUAUAAAGGAAUAAAGUGAGGCACGUGUGCCUUUUUGUAUGUACUUUAUGAAUAAGGAUCGGCUAACUCCGUUCCAGCAGCCGCGGUAAUACGGAGGAUCCGAGCGUUAUCCGGAUUUAUUGGGUUUAAAGGGAGCGUAGAUGGGUUGUUAAGUCAGUUGUGAAAGUUUGCGGCUCAACCGUAAAAUUGCAAUUGAUACUGGCAGUCUUGAGUACAGUUGAGGUAGGCGGAAUUCGUGGUGUAGCGGUGAAAUGCUGAGAUAUCACGAAGAACUCCGAUUGCGAAGGCAGCUUACUAAACUGCCACUGACAUUGAUGCUCGAAAGUGUGGGUAUCAAACAGGAUUAGAUACCCCUGUAGUC